Molecule: unclassified non-coding RNA, 251 nt
Filed under: Preussia dubia
Lineage: Eukaryota; Fungi; Ascomycota; Dothideomycetes; Pleosporales; Sporormiaceae
Description: sequence contains 5.8S rRNA gene
Source: RNAcentral
GAACGCACAUUGCGCCCUUUGGUAUUCCUUAGGGCAUGCCUGUUCGAGCGUCAUUUAAACCUUCAAGCUCUGCUUGGUGUUGGGCAUGUCACGCCCCCCUCCGCGGGGGUGUGCGCCUCAAAUCUAUUGGCGGCCGGUACGUUGGCUUCGAGCGCAGCAGAAACGCGAACUCGGGGACUCCGGAUCGGCCCUCCACAAGCUAUUUUAUCAUUUUGACCUCGGAUCAGGUAGGGAUACCCGCUGAACUUAAG